CCCUGCCCUUUGUACACACCGCCCGUCGCUACUACCGAUUGAAUGGCUUAGUGAGGCGUCCGGAGAGCCUAUAAAGAGCUGGCAACAGCACUUUACUGGUUCAAAGUUCUACGAACUUGGUCAUUUAG
This 128-nucleotide ribosomal RNA is filed under the name uncultured eukaryote. RNAcentral describes it as "partial small subunit ribosomal RNA". It matches the Rfam family "Eukaryotic small subunit ribosomal RNA", at positions 1651 to 1776 of the family's 1831-position model. The record is from RNAcentral.